This 384-nucleotide ribosomal RNA is filed under the name uncultured eukaryote. RNAcentral's name for it is "partial 18S ribosomal RNA". It matches the Rfam family "Eukaryotic small subunit ribosomal RNA", at positions 592 to 976 of the family's 1831-position model. The record is from RNAcentral.
CAAUAGCGUAUAUUAAAGUUGUUGCAGUUAAAAAGCUCGUAGUUGGAUUUCUGGUGGGGGCCGCUGGUCCGCUGCGAAAGCGGCGUGUACCGAUGCGUGCCUACCGCCAUCCUCGGGUGGAGUGCGUGUGGGAUUAAUUUCUCGUGCGUAGGAUGCCCGUCGUUUACUGUGAAAAAAUUAGAGUGUUCAAAGCAGGCUUUGGCCGUUGAAUACAUUAGCAUGGAAUAAUAAGAUAGGACUUGGCUCUAUUUUGUUGGUUUGUACGCCAAGUAAUGAUUAAUAGGGAUAGUUGGGGGUAUUCGUAUUCAAUUGUCAGAGGUGAAAUUCUUAGAUUUAUGGAAGACGAACUACUGCGAAAGCAUUUACCAAGGAUGUUUUCAUUGA